AGCGAACGCUGGCGGCAGGCCUAAUACAUGCAAGUCGAGCGCACCUUCGGGUGAGCGGCGGACGGGUGAGUAACGCGUGGGAAUGUGCCCUUUGGUGCGGAACAACUGAGGGAAACUUCAGCUAAUACCGUAUGUGCCCUUCGGGGGAAAGAUUUAUCGCCAUUGGAGCAGCCCGCGUUGGAUUAGGUAGUUGGUGAGGUAAAGGCUCACCAAGCCUACGAUCCAUAGCNGGUCUGAGAGGAUGAUCAGCCACACUGGGACUGAGACACGGCCCAGACUCCUACGGGAGGCAGCAGUAGGGAAUCUUGCGCAAUGGGCGAAAGCCUGACGCAGCCAU
Molecule: ribosomal RNA, 337 nt
Filed under: uncultured bacterium
Lineage: Bacteria
Description: bacterial SSU rRNA
Rfam family: Bacterial small subunit ribosomal RNA
Source: RNAcentral